RNAcentral lists this ribosomal RNA (250 nucleotides) under uncultured prokaryote. RNAcentral's name for it is "partial 16S ribosomal RNA". It matches the Rfam family "Bacterial small subunit ribosomal RNA", at positions 524 to 774 of the family's 1533-position model. The record is from RNAcentral.
UACAUAGGGGGCGAGCGUUAUCCGGAUUUAUUGGGCGUAAAGGGUGCGUAGGCGGUAGAUUAAGUCUAAGGUUAAAGUGCAGGGCUCAACCCUGUGAUGCCUUAGAAACUGGUUUACUUGAGUUUGGUAGAGGUAAGUGGAACUCCAUGUGUAGCGGUAAAAUGCGUAAAUAUAUGGAAGAACACCAGUGGCGAAGGCGGCUUACUGGGCCACAACUGACGCUGAGGCACGAAAGCGUGGGGAGCAAACA